AGUUGGUGGAGUGAUUUGUCUGGUUAAUUCCGUUAACGAACGAGACCUCAGCCUGCUAAAUAGUCCGACUAUGGUUUUCCAUGGCUGCUGACUUCUUAGAGGGACUAUUGGCGUUUAGCCAAUGGAAGUUUGAGGCAAUAACAGGU
This 146-nucleotide ribosomal RNA is filed under the name uncultured Chlorophyta. RNAcentral describes it as "partial small subunit ribosomal RNA". It matches the Rfam family "Eukaryotic small subunit ribosomal RNA", at positions 1296 to 1461 of the family's 1831-position model. Lineage: Eukaryota; Viridiplantae; Chlorophyta. The record is from RNAcentral.